This 1368-nucleotide ribosomal RNA is filed under the name Halomonas sp. Its description in RNAcentral is "bacterial SSU rRNA". It matches the Rfam family "Bacterial small subunit ribosomal RNA", at positions 77 to 1440 of the family's 1533-position model. Lineage: Bacteria; Pseudomonadati; Pseudomonadota; Gammaproteobacteria; Oceanospirillales; Halomonadaceae. The record is from RNAcentral.
AGCUUGCUCCCUGGUGGCGAGCGGCGGACGGGUGAGUAAUGCAUAGGAAUCUGCCCGGUAGUGGGGGAUAACCUGGGGAAACCCAGGCUAAUACCGCAUACGUCCUACGGGAGAAAGCAGGGGACCUUCGGGCCUUGCGCUAUCGGAUGAGCCUAUGUCGGAUUAGCUGGUUGGUGAGGUAAUGGCUCACCAAGGCGACGAUCCGUAGCUGGUCUGAGAGGAUGAUCAGCCACAUCGGGACUGAGACACGGCCCGAACUCCUACGGGAGGCAGCAGUGGGGAAUAUUGGACAAUGGGCGCAAGCCUGAUCCAGCCAUGCCGCGUGUGUGAAGAAGGCCCUCGGGUUGUAAAGCACUUUCAGUGGGGAAGAAAGCCUUCCGGUUAAUACCCGGGAGGAGGGACAUCACCCACAGAAGAAGCACCGGCUAACUCCGUGCCAGCAGCCGCGGUAAUACGGAGGGUGCGAGCGUUAAUCGGAAUUACUGGGCGUAAAGCGCGCGUAGGCGGCUUGAUAAGCCGGUUGUGAAAGCCCCGGGCUCAACCUGGGAACGGCAUCCGGAACUGUCAGGCUAGAGUGCAGGAGAGGAAGGUAGAAUUCCCGGUGUAGCGGUGAAAUGCGUAGAGAUCGGGAGGAAUACCAGUGGCGAAGGCGGCCUUCUGGACUGACACUGACGCUGAGGUGCGAAAGCGUGGGUAGCAAACAGGAUUAGAUACCCUGGUAGUCCACGCCGUAAACGAUGUCGACUAGCCGUUGGGUCCUUCGCGGACUUUGUGGCGCAGUUAACGCGAUAAGUCGACCGCCUGGGGAGUACGGCCGCAAGGUUAAAACUCAAAUGAAUUGACGGGGGCCCGCACAAGCGGUGGAGCAUGUGGUUUAAUUCGAUGCAACGCGAAGAACCUUACCUACCCUUGACAUCCUGCGAACCCUUCGGAGACGAAGGGGUGCCUUCGGGAACGCAGAGACAGGUGCUGCAUGGCUGUCGUCAGCUCGUGUUGUGAAAUGUUGGGUUAAGUCCCGUAACGAGCGCAACCCUUGUCCCUAUUUGCCAGCGAUUCGGUCGGGAACUCUAGGGAGACUGCCGGUGACAAACCGGAGGAAGGUGGGGACGACGUCAAGUCAUCAUGGCCCUUACGGGUAGGGCUACACACGUGCUACAAUGGUCAGUACAAAGGGUUGCGAACUUGCGAGAGUGAGCCAAUCCCAGAAAGCUGAUCUCAGUCCGGAUCGGAGUCUGCAACUCGACUCCGUGAAGUCGGAAUCGCUAGUAAUCGUGAAUCAGAAUGUCACGGUGAAUACGUUCCCGGGCCUUGUACACACCGCCCGUCACACCAUGGGAGUGGACUGCACCAGAAGUAGGUUAGCCUAAC